Molecule: ribosomal RNA, 103 nt
Filed under: uncultured eukaryote
Lineage: Eukaryota
Description: partial small subunit ribosomal RNA
Source: RNAcentral
UCGCUCCUACCGAUUUCGAGUGAUUCGGUGAACCAUUUGGACUGGAGGAGACCUCGUGUCGCCACUGGAAAAUCUAGUAAAUCCAAUCACUUAGAGGAAGGAG